GGCGCUAUGGUGUAGAGGUAUGCACACGGGACUGCGGCGCCCGCAGCCCGGGUUCGAAUCCUGGUGGCGCCU
RNAcentral lists this transfer RNA (72 nucleotides) under Coniophora puteana RWD-64-598 SS2. Its description in RNAcentral is "tRNA-Arg (GCG) (tRNA-Arg-GCG-1-1)". It matches the Rfam family "tRNA". Rfam says of the family: Transfer RNA (tRNA) molecules are approximately 80 nucleotides in length. Their secondary structure includes four short double-helical elements and three loops (D, anti-codon, and T loops). Further hydrogen bonds mediate the characteristic L-shaped molecular structure. tRNAs have two regions of fundamental functional importance: the anti-codon, which is responsible for specific mRNA codon recognition, and the 3' end, to which the tRNAs corresponding amino acid is attached (by aminoacyl-tRNA synthetases). tRNAs cope with the degeneracy of the genetic code in two manners: having more than one tRNA (with a specific anti-codon) for a particular amino acid; and 'wobble' base-pairing, i.e. permitting non-standard base-pairing at the 3rd anti-codon position. Lineage: Eukaryota; Fungi; Basidiomycota; Agaricomycetes; Boletales; Coniophoraceae. The record is from RNAcentral.